CUACGGGCGGCUGCAGCAGGGAAUAUUGCACAAUGGACGGAAGUCUGAUGCAGCGACGCCGCGUGGAUGAUGAAGGCCCUCGGGUUGUAAAAUCCUUUUCAGGGGGACGAGGAAGGACGGUACCCUUGGAAUAAGCGUCGGCUAACUACGUGCCAGCAGCCGCGGUAAGACGUAGGACGCAAGCGUUAUCCGGAUUUACGGGGCGUAAAGCGUCUGUAGGCGGAAUGGUAAGUUGGACGUGAAAGCUCCGGGCUCAACUCGGAGAGGUCGUUCAAUACUGCCAAACUAGAGGGCAUCAGAGGAGCGUGGAAUUUCCGGUGUAGCGGUAAAAUGCGCAGAUAUCGGAAGGAACACCAAUGGCGAAGGCAGCGCUCUGGGAUGAACCUGACGCUAAGAGACGAAAGCUAGGGGAGCGAACAGGAUUAGAUACCCUUGUAGUC
Molecule: ribosomal RNA, 440 nt
Filed under: uncultured bacterium
Lineage: Bacteria
Description: partial 16S ribosomal RNA
Rfam family: Bacterial small subunit ribosomal RNA
Source: RNAcentral